RNA transcript from Homo sapiens (human), 3458 nucleotides. It is a transcript of the gene named FCH and mu domain containing endocytic adaptor 1, with no coding region annotated. The record is from RefSeq and is marked validated. Lineage: Eukaryota; Metazoa; Chordata; Mammalia; Primates; Hominidae. The transcript has 29 exons.
GGGGCGGGCUCCGGUGUCAGCGACCAAGCCGCAGGUGGCGGCGAGCGCGGGGCUCGGCCCGAGCUCAGGAGAUGGGGAAACUGAGGCACGGAGCUGGACAGUGACUCAGACACCAGGUGAACACUGGCUUUUGAGGGCAGGGUUGGGACUCGUGGGGGCAGCAAUGCCAGCUGGGUCAUCACAGUGAGGAGUGAGCUCUGACUCCCAGGAGGGUACAUAAGGAGCUGCCUGGAGUGGAGCUGAGAGCUCAGGUCUGGGCUCAGCCAGUCCAGAGUGCAAAUCUACUGUCCCUUCCUAGCUGUGUGAUCUUGGCAAGUGACUUCCCCUCUGGGGGAGGGGAGGGCUCAGUUUUCCCAUCUGUGAAGUGGAUCAGAGCUUUCCUGUCAAGACAGGCACUGGACGGGGCCUGCAGGGGUCUCCACAGAGACCAUCAGGAUGUCGUAUUUUGGGGAGCAUUUUUGGGGCGAGAAAAAUCAUGGCUUUGAGGUCCUGUACCACAGCGUGAAGCAGGGGCCCAUCUCCACCAAGGAGCUGGCGGACUUCAUCCGGGAGAGGGCCACCAUCGAGGAGACCUACUCGAAGGCGAUGGCGAAACUCUCCAAGCUGGCCAGCAACGGGACCCCCAUGGGCAGGGCUCAGCGUGCAGCACAUACCUGAGCCAGUGCCAGCGCUGUCCCGGGGUGGGGUGAGCCUGAUGAACCCUGGGUGUGACCUUGCCCGCCCCCAGGACCUUCGCCCCGCUCUGGGAGGUCUUCCGCGUCUCCUCGGACAAGCUGGCGCUGUGCCACCUGGAACUGACACGGAAGUUACAGGAUCUCAUCAAGGACGUUCUCCGCUACGGCGAGGAACAGCUCAAGACCCACAAGAAGUGCAAGGAGGAAGUGGUGAGCACCUUGGAUGCUGUGCAGGUACUCUCGGGCGUCAGCCAGCUCCUGCCCAAGUCCCGCGAGAACUACCUGAACCGUUGCAUGGACCAGGAGCGGCUGCGGAGGGAGAGUACCAGCCAGAAGGAGAUGGACAAGGCGGAGACUAAAACCAAGAAGGCGGCAGAGAGCCUGCGGCGCUCAGUGGAAAAAUACAACUCAGCCCGAGCUGACUUUGAGCAGAAGAUGCUGGACUCAGCCCUGCGCUUCCAAGCCAUGGAGGAGACACACCUGAGGCACAUGAAGGCACUGCUGGGCUCAUAUGCUCACUCGGUGGAGGACACGCACGUGCAGAUUGGGCAGGUGCAUGAGGAAUUUAAGCAGAACAUCGAGAACGUCAGCGUGGAGAUGCUACUCAGGAAGUUUGCAGAGAGUAAGGGCACAGGCCGGGAGAAGCCUGGACCUCUGGACUUCGAGGCAUACAGUGCGGCUGCCCUGCAGGAAGCGAUGAAACGUUUGCGGGGAGCCAAGGCCUUUCGCCUUCCAGGACUAAGCCGGCGGGAGCGGGAGCCAGAGCCACCUGCAGCUGUAGAUUUCCUGGAGCCCGAUUCAGGGACAUGUCCAGAGGUGGAUGAAGAAGGUUUCACUGUCCGGCCUGAUGUGACCCAGAACAGCACGGCCGAGCCCUCCCGUUUCUCGUCCAGCGACUCCGACUUCGACGAUGAAGAGCCCCGCAAGUUCUAUGUGCACAUCAAGCCUGCCCCGGCCCGGGCUCCAGCCUGCAGCCCCGAGGCAGCAGCGGCACAGCUCAGGGCCACCGCGGGCAGCCUCAUCCUUCCUCCUGGCCCAGGGGGCACCAUGAAACGCCAUUCUUCACGGGACGCUGCUGGGAAACCCCAGAGACCUCGGUCUGCCCCCAGAACCAGCAGCUGUGCAGAGAGAUUGCAGUCAGAGGAGCAGGUGUCCAAGAACCUCUUUGGGCCGCCCCUGGAGUCAGCCUUUGACCACGAAGAUUUUACAGGCUCUAGCAGCCUGGGCUUCACCUCCAGCCCCUCCCCUUUCUCCUCCUCGUCGCCCGAAAACGUGGAGGAUUCCGGCCUGGACUCUCCGUCCCACGCGGCACCUGGCCCCUCCCCAGAUUCCUGGGUCCCCCGCCCAGGCACCCCGCAGAGCCCGCCCAGCUGUAGGGCGCCACCCCCAGAGGCCAGGGGUAUCCGGGCACCGCCUCUGCCAGACUCGCCGCAGCCCCUCGCCUCGUCUCCAGGCCCCUGGGGGCUGGAGGCCUUGGCCGGAGGAGACCUGAUGCCUGCACCUGCUGACCCCACAGCCAGGGAGGGCCUGGCAGCCCCACCCAGGAGACUUCGCUCUAGGAAGGUGUCCUGCCCUCUCACACGUAGCAAUGGGGACCUGUCUCGUUCCCUGAGCCCCUCCCCACUGGGCUCUUCAGCCGCCAGCACUGCCUUGGAACGGCCCAGCUUCUUAUCCCAGACAGGACACGGAGUCUCCCGGGGUCCGAGCCCUGUGGUCCUGGGCUCCCAGGAUGCCCUGCCCAUAGCCACAGCCUUCACAGAGUAUGUCCACGCCUACUUCCGUGGCCACAGCCCCAGCUGCCUGGCUCGAGUAACUGGGGAGCUGACCAUGACCUUCCCUGCUGGCAUCGUGCGUGUGUUCAGCGGGACCCCACCACCACCUGUCCUCAGCUUCCGGCUUGUACACACAACCGCUAUUGAGCACUUCCAGCCCAACGCCGAUCUGCUGUUCAGUGACCCCUCCCAGAGUGACCCUGAGACCAAAGACUUCUGGCUCAACAUGGCAGCUCUGACCGAAGCCCUGCAGCGCCAGGCAGAGCAGAACCCCACUGCCUCCUACUACAACGUGGUGCUGCUGCGAUACCAGUUCUCCCGCCCGGGUCCCCAGUCUGUGCCUCUGCAGCUCAGUGCCCACUGGCAGUGUGGAGCCACCCUCACCCAGGUCUCAGUGGAGUACGGCUACCGGCCCGGUGCCACGGCUGUGCCCACACCACUCACGAACGUCCAGAUCCUGCUGCCUGUGGGGGAGCCUGUGACCAACGUCCGCUUGCAGCCGGCUGCCACCUGGAACCUGGAGGAGAAGCGGCUCACUUGGAGGCUUCCAGAUGUGUCCGAGGCAGGCGGUUCUGGCCGCCUCUCUGCCAGCUGGGAGCCGCUCUCAGGGCCCAGCACACCCAGCCCCGUGGCUGCACAGUUCACCAGCGAGGGGACCACUCUGUCGGGCGUGGACUUGGAACUGGUGGGCAGCGGUUACCGCAUGUCGCUGGUGAAGAGGAGGUUUGCCACAGGGAUGUACCUGGUGAGCUGCUGAACCCGCAAAUGCUGCUGCCCCAGCUCUACACUGCGCCCUGGUGCUGGCUGACCACCCCCUGCCCUCCUGCCGGACCCUGGGGCCUCCCACCCCAGCCUCCCUGAGGCCCAUACUCCACGGAGAGGAGCCCCAUGCCCAGCCUGGCUGAGCCCGAGAUUCGCUCCUCCCCCUCAUGCCAACCCCACACAGGUCCCGGCCUUUUAAUGUUCUUUGAAUAAACACUUUAUUUUCUAAUAAAAUAAAAAAGGAAACCUU